AGUGAACGCUGGCGGUAGGCCUAACACAUGCAAGUCGAACGGCAGCACAGUAAGAGCUUGCUCUUACGGGUGGCGAGUGGCGGACGGGUGAGGAAUACAUCGGAAUCUACUUUUUCGUGGGGGAUAACGUAGGGAAACUUACGCUAAUACCGCAUACGACCUACGGGUGAAAGCAGGGGAUCUUCGGACCUUGCGCGAUUGAAUGAGCCGAUGUCGGAUUAGCUAGUUGGCGGGGUAAAGGCCCACCAAGGCGACGAUCCGUAGCUGGUCUGAGAGGAUGAUCAGCCACACUGGAACUGAGACACGGUCCAGACUCCUACGGGAGGCAGCAGUGGGGAAUAUUGGACAAUGGGCGCAAGCCUGAUCCAGCCAUACCGCGUGGGUGAAGAAGGCCUUCGGGUUGUAAAGCCCUUUUGUUGGGAAAGAAAAGCAGCAGGUUAAUACCCCGCUGUUCCGACUGUACCCAAAGAAUAAGCACCGGCUAACUUCGUG
This 492-nucleotide ribosomal RNA is filed under the name uncultured bacterium. RNAcentral describes it as "partial 16S ribosomal RNA". It matches the Rfam family "Bacterial small subunit ribosomal RNA", at positions 29 to 507 of the family's 1533-position model. The record is from RNAcentral.